Molecule: long non-coding RNA, 6521 nt
Organism: Brassica rapa (field mustard)
Lineage: Eukaryota; Viridiplantae; Streptophyta; Magnoliopsida; Brassicales; Brassicaceae
Source: RefSeq, a predicted model, not a curated record
UUUAUUCGACAUUCAAACGACGGACUUCUCCACCGUUUUAGCUCAUGUGGACCCCGUGCUAGAUUCUCUAUUUUACCCAUUUUGUUAAUGUAUUAUUUCAUUCUUUUUUUGGCACUCAAACGAAAUUUGUUUUGUUUUAUUUGUUUCUUCUCUUUAUUAUUUGGUGUUCAUCAAUUGGUUCUUGAUUUUUUAUGGCAUCCUUUCUCACCUGGACACGUGUUUUGGCUGUAUAAUUAGAAUCAGAUAUUGUUGUGUAUUUCUUUGUGGUUAAGAUUAUAGAAUUUUAAAAUUAAUCACUUGCUUUGAUUUCAGAAUCCAAUGGAAAAGUUUAAUAUCAUUGAUACCUUAAUGAAUAACUAGAUUUAUUAUUUAGAUUAUAUAACUAAUUAUAAAUUAAAAUUAUAAAAAAAAACAAUUUAAGACUAAAAACACAUUAAAAACUAAUAUAUAUUGUGUUAUUAUUUAAAAAGAAUAUUUGUCAAUUAUCAAAAUUUAAAAAUUAAGAAAAACAGAUGAAUAAUUAAAUACUAAUCAAGUAAAUAAAUAAUUUUGUAUAAUCAAUGAAUAUAGUGUAUAAAGAAUUUUUUUAAUUAUUUAUAAUUCUUCAAUGUUUCCAAAAUUUGAUGAUUAUAUAUAUUUUUAUUAAAACCCCCGUAUAUAUAAUUUAAUGAUUGGUUUAAAAUAUGAAGAGAAACAAAAUUAUUAUCAUGAUGGUUUUUAAAUGACGCAUAUAUUAAUAAUUAGCUGUAAAAUUGAUUACUUAUGGGUCUUCAUAAAAUCACUAAAUAAUAAUAGUUGGAGAAAAUCUCCUAAAUAUUUUUUUCCACUUUAGUGUAUUUUAGAUAGCUCCAAAAUUAAAGUGAUCAAAAUAUGUUUCAUUAAAUGGGUAAUGACAAUUAUAUCAUCGUUUACAAUUUUAGAUAAUCAUAAUAUAAAAUUAUUAAAAAAAAUAACAAAGUCAAAAUAUCUUUUUCAAAAUUUCUUUUUCUAAAAUAUAUAUUUCCAAUAACUCCUUUUAAAACAAUCCUAGGAAAACCUUCCUUAGCAUGUAGGAUAUCUUUCUGAAUUUGUAAAAAUAAUUUCCUGAAUUGAGGAAUGGUUUAUAAAUGUGUAAUCUUGAAUGUAAAUUGUAUGUAUAUUUAAGAAGUUCUUCCUAAAUAUGAAUGAUAUCUUUCUAAAUUUGAUAAAAUUUAUUUUGAUAAUUUUGACCUUUAAUAAAACUUACAAUAAGAUUUAUAAUUUUCAUUUAUCUCUUUAAUAAAACUUAUUUUGAACAUUUUGACCUUUUAAAACUAGUUUGGAAACAAAAACUUGUUUCGGGUAUAUUUGAGUUCAUUUCUCUAAUAGCCGGUUACGUCAACGUAAUCACACAAUUUAAUAUUGAGUUAUAUCAUAAAAUAAAAUUUUGCAUGAUUAAUAAUGUUAUUAUCAGUGGACAUAUAUGAUAUGCGCACUCUCAACUGAAAUCUAUAUUAAUAUUAGUGACUUUUCUUACUUGUCAUUUUUUCCAUAUUUUUAGGUUAUUUUGCUUAUUUGUAAUGUUUAAUUAAUUUUAGAAGCUUAUUUGUCAUAUUCCAUAAUUUUAGAUUAAAUCAUUAGUUUUAAUAAAUAACUUGAUUUUGAUCCACAUUUUUAAAACGCAGAUAUUUUUUCAAAACGCGGAUAUUUAUCGUAGUGUACAUUACAAAAGAUGACAUGUUAAAUAACAUGAUUGAAGAAAAUAAGAAGUACAAAAGAAAAUAAAAAUAAUCAAAUCAUAUGUGGAUUGAAAUGAAGAAUCAUUAUGAUAGUUCAUCAGCACAUAAAAAAAAAACAGAAUCAGCAAACCAAAAAUAUAUGUAUAUAUAUAUAUAUAUAUAUCUUUACAUUCUAAAAAAAAAAAUACUAAGUUGAAGCAUCAAAAAUUUAGCAUCAGAAAAUUCAAUGACUUCGUUUUUCUGCUGUGAAUAUCAUAUAUAUAGUAGAUCGGUAAAUAUUUCUAAAUGACCUAGCUUUCACGAUAAGCUUUGAAAUAGAAUAUUCUUAAAUAAAUUCUCUGAAAAAUCUUAUGCUUAUAAGGUAAUACUAUUUUUGGAAUAUCUUGUUAGUAGAGAAAAAGAGAAAAUCUUGUGAUUGGAUUGCAUCCAAAUUUUGGUUCAAAGAUUUUAUUAUAAAUAUUUAAAUAUUGAAUGCAUGAAUCAUUUUUUCUGAUGAAUUUCACAAAGUUUCAAUGUGGGACGUUUACACUUUGUAGAUAUAAUGAUCUUAAAUAUAUUUCAUGUGUAAAUAGAUAUAGGGACUUUUUGUAUAAAUGAUUUCCUAUAAACUCAAGAAUAUAGAUAUUCUAAAUCUUGUUAGGCCCCUAAAAUUUUGCUUACCACGAUUUACAGUAAGAUUUUUUUAUUUUUAAAAGUAUUAAUAAGAAAAUAAAUAGAAAGAAAAUAAGAAAAUAUUGUACGUAAUUAAAUGUUUGCAAAUAUCCAAAUUACCCUUAAUGAAAGACACAGUUUAGACUUUAGAUAGAAUGGUAGAGGCAAUUAGUGGAAAUAUCCCGAAGUGUAUUCUGCUUUAAUAGUAUACUAGAUACGGACCCGCGCUGUGCGCGGAUUUGUUUCCUUAAAUCUUCGUAUAAAAUAAAUUAUACUAUACGAAUAUCAAAUUUGUGGUUUAUACUUUGAAAAAUAUUUUUACUUGGAUACAAAAUAUUUGCUCCACAUAUAUAGCAUUGGUGUGUGUUUUAAUAGAGAGUAAUUUGGAACCAACGUCUUCUCAAUCCUGCCAGUUUAUGAUCCGCCUUGUAAUGGAGUAAAGUGAUUAUGUUACAAAUCCCUUUAUUUAAAUAAUAUAGCCCUAUUAUUUUAAUAAAUUUUAGACAUAGUAGCAUCUAUUAUAUUAUUUUAGUAAAUUUUAUUGGUAUAAGAUAAUUUUUUGGAUGUUAUGAUAUUAAGUUUUAUUUUUAACUAAGAUUUUAAAAUAUUAGAUUGCUUUAAUUUUACAACAUAUAUAGUGUUUUUUCGUGGUGCAUUUCAAAAAGUUAUUAUUUAUUAUCUAUGAUUUUAUCUUUUGUAAAAUUUGAAAUAUUAUCAUUUUGAGUUUGAAUAUUUAUUUUCAAAAUUUUAUAUUGUGUCAAGAAAACUUUGAAAAAUUACACUACUAUUUGAGUUUGGAAGAUUACAUGAAUUUUGAAUUUUAUUUUGUUACUACAUUAAUACAUUAUUUUAUAAAAAUAUAUUUGAAUUUUUUAUAAUAUUUUCUAAUUUUUCUCAAUAUAUUUUUUUAUAAUUAAAAAUAUAUAACUAAAAUUUGAUUUUGUCAUUAAUAUUUUAAAUGAAUUACUAAAAUUUUAUAAUUUUCUAAUAACAUAUUUUAAAAAUAGUAUAUGAAAUAAAGGUUAUUAUAUACUAUUAUAUUUUUGUAUAUAAACCUUUUAAACAUUAAUAUAUUGUUGAGAUACCAAGUUAACAUACCAAGUAAAAAUCUGGUUGAUAUAAUUACUUUGCAUGUAAAUUUCACAAAUAUGUAUCUUACGUAAUAGUUAUAUUAUUUAAGUGUUAUGUCUUGAAGAUGGCUUUAAGUUAUUAGUUGUUUGAAUCGUAAGACUUAUUUGACUAAGAUAAUUAGGAUGUAUAAUUAAUAGAUAUUUAACUAACUAAAAUUACAAAAUAGAUAUGAACGGAAGUCUUGAAUUGUAUCUUCGGCUUUAAUAGAUUAAAAAAACAUAUGUAACGUAAAUGGUGAACAUGAUGAUCUAAACUCUUUAUGAUUAAAACUUAUAUGCAGACAACAUUGUGUUCAUAAUUAGAAAUUUUUAUUUGUUGGAAUGUUUCAUAUGGAUACAGAUGAACAAAAUAUGAAAUUAUUUGAUUUUUUCUGUGACAGAUAGUCAUCUGAAGAAGCAAAGGCGACAUAUAUAUUAACAUGUGUCCAAUUAGAGUUAUCGUAUGUUUAUUCUAAUAGUUAAUAACAUAUCGGUUUAGUUAGUUUAAUUUUAGAUGGUUUUAGGAGAUUAGAUAUUGGUUUAGUUUAAAUAAUCUGGUUCAAUUAUUUAGGUAGCGUGUAAAAAUAUAAUUGUAACAAACUUGUAAGGGUCCAAAAUACAUGUAGCGUACUAACAAAUUUAAAAGGGUCUAAAAUUUUUAAACAACUUUUCUAAGUAGAUAAUAAAAUAGGACUCUAUUUUAAUAGAUUAGAUUUUUGAACUGUUAGUUUCUAAACAAUUUUAGUUAUUAUUUAGUAAAUAUUUUUAUCAUAUUCAGGAGAAUUAUUAUUAACGAGUAUUAUCAAAUUUUAGCAAUAAUUUUUAUAGUUAUGUUUAUCUUAUAUUUACUUUAGUAAUGCUAAAUCGUUUAAUUUUUUUAUUUAUUAUUAUUUUUAAGGAAGCUUUCUUCUCUUUAUUUCAGGGAAUCAUCUUCAAUCAAAAACUAUGAGUCCAAAGAAUACAAUCUCUUGUCCUUGUAAAUUAAAAAAAAUUCAGUUUCACUAGACAUAUAUAAUUUAUUAUUUUUAGUUUAUAAAUUUUUAUUUAAAUAGAAAUAUGUUUUUAAUUCUUGUAUAUUUUGUUAAUAGGUAGUCACUAUGAACUUUGAAGAAGAGAAAAUUCAUAUAAAAUACAAUUAAACUAAUGUUUGUAGGAAUUACCAAAACAAGGAAAAUUGUUCAAUCAUCUAUACUAUUAUUUGAUGAAGAGAGAUUUGAUUUCACAUGCUUCACUGAUAAUUGGUAAUUGUGGUUUAAUUUGUAGAUUUAUCUUUUACGUUAUUUUAAAUUAUUAAUAAAACUUUAAUAGGUUAUUAUGAUGAUGAUACUCUUUACAUGUGUGGUUUGGUGAUAGAAUAAAUAAAAGAUUUUGCAAAUACCAAACCGUUAUUUAAGUUGCGUUGUAAUAAAAAAAAUUAUAUCUUCCAAUUAAUUUAAUAUUUAAAAUUAUUUAAAUAAUUAAAAUUUCUUAUAAGCCAUGUUCUCAGUAAUUUUAAGUUAUUUUGAUUAUUUGUCAUGUUUUGUUAGUUUUAGAAACUUAUUCGUCAUAUUCCAUGAUUUUAGGUUGUCAUUAAUUUUUAUAAAUAAAAUUUUGAAUUGUUAGUUUUUAUACAAUUUUAGUGAUUAUUUAAUAAAUAUUUUAAUUAUAUUCAGGAUAAUUAUUAUUAACGAGUAUUAUCAAAUUUGAGCAAUAAUUUUAUAGUUAUGUUUAUCUUAUGUUUACUUUAGUAAUAUUAAAUCUUUAAUGUUUUUAUUUAAUAUUUUGAAAAAGAAGCUUUUUGUUUUAUGUGAGUGAACCAUCUUGUCGUUGUAAAUUAAAAAAACAAAAUCCAGUUUUUAUAAGACAUAUAUAAUAUAUUACUUUUGGUUUAUAUUUUUUUAGUUAAAUAGAAAUAUGUUUUUAAUUAUUGUAUAUUUUGUUAAUAGGUAGUCACUAUGAACUUUGAUGAAGAGAAAACUCAUAUAAAAUGCAAUUAAACUAAUGUUUGUAGGAAUUACCAAAACAAGGAAAAUUGUUCAAUCAUCUAUACUAUUAUUUGUUGAAGAGAGGUUUGAUUUUACAUGCUUCACUGAUAAUUGGUAAUUGUGGUUUAAUUUGUAGAUUUAUCUUUUACGUUAUUUUAAAUUAUUAAUAAAACUUUAAUAGGUUAUUAUGAUGAUGAUACUCUUUACAUGUGUGGUUUGGUGAUAGAAUAAAUAAAAGAUUUUGCAAAUACCAAACCGUUAUUUAAGUUGCGUUGUAAUAAAAAAAAAAUAUUUUCCAAUUAAUUUAAUAUUUAAAAUUAUUUAAAUAAUUAAAAUUUCUUAUAAGCCAUGUUCUCAGUGAUUUUAAGUUAUUUUGAUUAUUUGUCAUGUUUUGUUAUUUUUAGAAACUUAUUCGUCAUAUUCCAUGAUUUCAGGUUGUCAUUAAUUUUUAUGAAUAAAAUUUUGAAUUGUUAGUUUUUAUACAAUUUUAGUGAUUAUUUAAUAAAUAUUUUAAUUAUAUUCAGGAUAAUUAUUAUUGACGAGUAUUAUCAAAUUUGAGCAAUAAUUUUAUAGUUAUGUUUAUCUUAUGUUUACUUUAGUAAUAUUAAAUCGUUUAAUGUUUUUAUUUAAUAUUUUGAAAGAGAAGCUUUUUUUUAUGUGAGUGAAUCAUCUUGUCGUUGUAAAUUAAAAAACAAAAUCCAGUUUUUAUAAGACAUAUAUAAUUUAUUACUUUUGGUUUAUAUUUUUUUAGUUAAAUAGAAAUAUGUUUUUAAUUAUUGUAUAUUUUGUUAAUAGGUAGUCACUAUGAACUUUGAUGAAGAGAAAACUCAUAUAAAAUGCAAUUAAACUAAUUUGAUGAAGAGAAGUUUGAUUUCAUAGGCUUCACUGAUAAUUGGUAAUUGUAGUUUAAUUUGUAGAUUUAUCUUUUAUGUUAUUUGAAAGUAUAAAUAAAACUUUAUUAGGUUAUUAUUAUGAUGAUACUUUUUACAUGUGUGGUUUGGUGAUAGAAUAAAUAAAAGAUUUUGCAACUACGAAACCAUUAUCUAAGUUGCGUUGUAAUAAGAAAAGGUAAAUUAUAUCUUCUGAUUAAUUUAAUAUUU